GAUGAAGAACGCAGCGAAAUGCGAUAAGUAGUGUGAAUUGCAGAAUUCAGUGAAUCAUCGAAUCUUUGAACGCACAUUGCGCCCUCUGGUAUUCCGGGGGGCAUGCCUGUUCGAGCGUCAUUAUAACCACUCAAGCUCUCGCUUGGUAUUGGGGUUCGCGGUUUCGCGGCCCCUAAAAUCAGUGGCGGUGCCUGUCGGCUCUACGCGUAGUAAUACUUCUCGCGAUUGAGUUCGAUAGGUCUACUUGCCAGUAACCCCCAAUUUUUACAGGUUGACCUCGGAUCAGGUAGGGAUACCCGCUGAACUUAAGCAUAUCAAUAAGCGGAGGA
RNAcentral lists this unclassified non-coding RNA (329 nucleotides) under soil metagenome. Its description in RNAcentral is "partial contains 5.8S ribosomal RNA, internal transcribed spacer 2, and large subunit ribosomal RNA". The stretch from base 1 to 120 matches the Rfam family "5.8S ribosomal RNA", at positions 35 to 154 of the family's 154-position model. The record is from RNAcentral.